Molecule: long non-coding RNA, 731 nt
Filed under: Marmota monax (woodchuck)
Lineage: Eukaryota; Metazoa; Chordata; Mammalia; Rodentia; Sciuridae
Source: RNAcentral
GAGACCAACUGUUUCUGUCGCCGCUGGUAUUGAUGAAGUUCUCUCCUCCGCCGCUUUCUGAUGACAUCAGAUCUCUGCCAUGUUGGUAUCCUAUGCGAAUGGCAGCAUUUCGUUCCCUUUGCUGGGUAACCAAAGCAACGGGUGAGUCCUGACCGGCCCUCAUCAGGAUCCGGACCGAGAAGCAGUUUCCGCGGGCUCCUUAGCCCUGGGCCAGAGCAGUUCUGGGAGCCGGAACUCGGCCGCUCCGUGCUCGGUGUAUGCUCUGAUAAGAGCAGGCUCCAAGAAGCACUCAGGCACUGAGCCUGAGUAAUCUGUCUGCAAGCCGCAGGCGAAUGGCAGCCUGAAAUUACCUGUUCUAUGGCUGAAUGAGCUGCGGUCAGUCGAAAACAGGGAUGGUGACGUCAGCUCUCCAAGAUGGUGGCCGCUGGCCUCCUCUCUGGUCUGACCGGUGUGGAGAACCGAAAUGGACUGCUUCCUUCCCCCAUCUCGAACCCAGAAUUCAGCACUGAGUACGGUGCUUGCACGGCUGGCAGAAACUGCAGCGCUGUAUCCCUGCACCACUAUCUCCUCCUCGUUUCCCAGUGUGCGCUGCAGACUCUGGCCGCGGGGCGAUUUGCUGAAUAAGCAGUGUUACCCUCCGUGUGACAAAUCUCUCGCGUUUGAGUCCCCGUAGCCGAUCCUCGUGAGAUGGAAAUCCUUCCUCCAGGUUCCGGAGCACCCCACUAUUGCUG